UACAGAGGUCUCAAGCGUUGUUCGGAUUCAUUGGGCGUAAAGGGUGCGUAGGCGGGUCUUUAAGUCAGAGGUGAAAUCCUGGAGCUCAACUCCAGAACUGCCUUUGAUACUGAGGAUCUUGAGUACGGGAGAGGUGAGUGGAACUGCGAGUGUAGAGGUGAAAUUCGUAGAUAUUCGCAAGAACACCAGUGGCGAAGGCGGCUCACUGGCCCGUUACUGACGCUGAGGCACGAAAGCGUGGGGAGCAAACAGG
Molecule: ribosomal RNA, 253 nt
Filed under: uncultured bacterium
Lineage: Bacteria
Description: partial 16S ribosomal RNA
Rfam family: Bacterial small subunit ribosomal RNA
Source: RNAcentral